CCAACUUAAAAAAUAAAUAUACGAAAUUAUACAUUUUCUUUCCGAAAUUUCUGGAAGACCAUUCUUAUUUACAAAAACCUGAUAAAGUUACAAGCUUUAUUAUUAUUUUUUCCGGGAAAAUUUUGUGCAGGUCUUUUCUAUCCAAACAGAAAGAGGAUUCUACGUUCUUGAGUGUGAAUAGAUGAAAUUGUGUGGGGUUUCAGCUGCUGUUGCUUCCACUCAGAGAAUCACUUUAAACCAUGCUGGUUAUGCAGAGCUUGCACUGUCCAACCCAAGGGGCAAGCUCUCACACUUGUCAUGUAGGCAUCAAUUGAGACAGCCUGUGAAUGCUGUACAAUUAUUAGUGGUAAAGAGGCGGGAACUUACACCAAAGACUUUAGCCUUUUCUGUCCCAAAUGAAAACGGUGAAGCUGAAAGAGAAACAUCCAAUGAUUGCACUGAUGAUGGCCUGGUUUUGGAAACACAAACAUCGCAUGAUUCUACUGAUAAUCACCUGGUUUCAGAUAGAGAAACAUCUCAUGAUUGCACUGAUGAUGGCCUGGCUGUGUGUUCUGAGAAUAAUGAAUGUUCUGAGCACCAAGAUGUAGAAGGUGUUACUUCACCUUCAUCUUUGGAGGAAGAUAUUUCUCAGAGUGCUGAGGAUUCGAGAAAGCAAAGAAACCUUCUUGAAAAACUAAAGGGUAUUCGCUUACAUGUAUUAGCAUCUGAACAAUGGAACACUUUACAACUCCAAUUGUGUCACGGGCAUUACUUGGAGAGUGCAACAAACUUAAUUCAUUACCUGGCUCUGAAAGGCCUUGACAUUAAGCAACUGAAGGAAGAUCUCCGUUCUACUGGUCUUUUGAAUUUGAAGACUAUCAAUUCAUUUGUUCUAGCAUGUCUAAAUGCUGGAAUCCAACUAUUAGAGAACCGGAAUUCUAGUUCUCAUGAUACAAAAGAGAACAUUAGUGUGGGAAGUUGCACUAAGGAAAUAUUGUACCAAAGUCAAAAUGAGAAGCUCACAGUGAGAGCAUUGAGGAAGAAACUGUUGUUCAAUAAAGAGUUAUUGUUGGGUGCAAUUCGGGGUAACAGAACCAUUAAUGUUAUGGUGACAAUUGGCCAAGAAGCUAUUGAGAGUGACACGCUUAUAAGUGACGUUCUUAAGGCUGGGGCCUCCAUUAUUAGGAUAAAUUGUGCUCAUGGAGACCCUAGUGUAUGGAGUGAAAUAAUCAGAAAAGUAAAAAGUAGUUCUCAAAUGUUGGAGAUGCCAUGUCGAACUCUUAUGGAUUUAGCUGGACCAAAAUUCCGUACAGGGAAGUUGAAGCCUGGUCCAUGUGUAAUUAACAUAUCCCCCAAGAAAAAUGCCACUGGUAAUGUGAUAUUGCCGGCUCAAGUUUGGCUUUCUUACAAAGGAUCAGGUCCUCCUCCUUCUCACUUGUCUCCUGAUGCAGCCCUAUUCAUAGAUGACCAAAAUUUUCUCAAUGAGCUCAAGGUAGGUGACACUUUGAAGUUUUAUGAUGCUAGAGGGAAAAAAAGGAUGCUCAAGAUUACUAGGCAGUUUCAUGUCUUUUCUAGUACUGGGUUUGCGGCUGAAUGUACAAAGACUGCUUAUAUUCAGUCUGGGACUGAAUUGUGCACUAAAGGAAAGAAAGGUAGGCUGUUAACUGGAAAGGUGGUAAAUGUCCCUGCCAAAGAGCGAUUUAUCAAAUUGAAAGUUGGAGACUUGCUAAUCAUAUCACGAGAUAGUUCAUUGGAUCAGGAAGAACUAUCUGGUCUGACAAGUGGUGCUCAUAGGAUAACUUGUUCAUCUGGCUAUCUAUUUGAUUCAGUCAUACCAGGAGAACCUAUAGCUUUUGAUGAUGGAAAGAUUUGGGGUGUAAUCCAGGGAGCAAGUAACUCAGAGAUUGUUGUCUCGAUCACUCGUGCUGGUCUUACAGGUACUAAACUUGGAUCAGAAAAAUCCAUAAACAUCCCAGAAAGCAAUAUUCGGUUUGAAGGUCUUACCUCAAAGGAUCUCAUGGAUCUUGAAUUUGUUGCCUCUCAUGCUGACAUGGUAGGCGUUUCUUUUGUUCGAGAUGUUCGUGAUAUUGUUGUGCUUCAAAAAGAAUUAGAGAAACGGAAACUUAGGAACCUGGGUAUAGUUUUGAAAAUUGAGACAAAGAGUGGGUUUCAGAACCUGCCUCUCAUGCUCUUGGAAGCUAUGAAAUCUUCGAACCCUCUUGGGGUUAUGAUUGCAAGAGGAGAUCUUGCUGUGGAGUGCGGGUGGGAAAGGUUGGCUGAUAUACAGGAAGAAAUUCUUUCUGUAUGUGCUGCUGCCCAUGUACCAGUCAUUUGGGCAACUCAGGUUCUGGAGUCACUUGUCAAGUCUGGUGUCCCUACGAGAGCUGAGAUUACUGAUGUUGUCAAUGGAAGGAGGGCAAGCUGCGUAAUGUUAAACAAAGGGCAAUAUAUUGUGGAGGCUGUUUCAACUUUGGAUACCAUCCUUCACAUGAACAAUUCUCAGAUGAAAGCAGACCUGGGGCCUAUUAUACUUUCGAGCUACUUCUAUAGCUGAAAAAUUUCCCCUUGAAUGUAAUCACCUUUUUGUAACGAGCACACUAGAUGAGGAUUUUAGUCAUUCUAUCCCACCCAUUCUGUAAGAAAACCUGGAAAAAUGAAGCAUAUUUUUGCACAUCUCAGACAAAAUAAGGCAUUUUAGUCUGAUACAUCGGCUCCUGCUCGCGAGAGGCACACUGUAAAGCAUCAAGUCAUACUGAAGCACCUUAUGCUGAUAUAAUCCUCUUAUAAACCAGGCUCCAUUUCCCCGGUGGGCAUUCACUAUUUCCUUCUAUUAUGAGGGAACACCGGAUUGUUGGAUUUGGGUUUAUUGCAUUAGGAUUUAGUUUGCAUAGGCCCACACAGAUAUGCUGUGACUGGAUGCAGGUGUCUGAAUUCUCUAAAUUCAAAGCUAAUGCUGUGAUUUUUUAUAUAUAUACUGGUGCUGCAAUCGAGCUGUGCUAAUUAUUGUUGGCCUUGAGCUCAACUUGAUGGGGUAGAUGCACAGUUUGAGUUUAGGGGCUGCAGGAGUUCAAGAUAGGAAUUGUUAACUUAAACUUGGUUCAAGAAUUUAUAGUUAAAUCUAAUAUAUUGUAUAUUUAU
Molecule: RNA transcript, 3117 nt
Organism: Mangifera indica (mango)
Lineage: Eukaryota; Viridiplantae; Streptophyta; Magnoliopsida; Sapindales; Anacardiaceae
Gene name: plastidial pyruvate kinase 4, chloroplastic-like
Exons: 6
Source: RefSeq, a predicted model, not a curated record